RNAcentral lists this ribosomal RNA (420 nucleotides) under Wickerhamiella versatilis. Its description in RNAcentral is "partial small subunit ribosomal RNA". It matches the Rfam family "Bacterial small subunit ribosomal RNA", at positions 505 to 950 of the family's 1533-position model. Lineage: Eukaryota; Fungi; Ascomycota; Dipodascomycetes; Dipodascales; Trichomonascaceae. The record is from RNAcentral.
GUGCCAGAAGUUUCGGUUAUGCAGCUAGGGCGAGUAGUUUACAUUAAAGGUUUAAAGGAUUAGUAGACGGAUCAUUAAAUUAAUAAUAAUAUUAUUAUUAAUUUAAAUUUAAAAGAUCUAGAAUAAGAUAAUAUAUUUAAUGAAAAAUAAAAGUAAAAGUUAAAUUUAAGAAUAUUUAUUAGACAACCAAUAAAUGAAGAUAUUAAAUAAGAAUCUUAUUGACGUUGAGAUAAUGAAGCCUAAAUUAUCAAGUUGGACUUGUUAACCAAUUAGUUUUAGGAGUAAACGAUGUAUAUUACGAAGAAAUUAUAAUUUCUUUGAACAAUAAUUUAAAAUAUACCACCUGAAAAGUAUAAUCCAGAGUUGAAAUUUAAAACAAUAGGCCGUUUAGUUUAUUAACAGUGGAUCAUGUUAUUUAAU